GCUUCACCGGCUGAACUCAA
This 20-nucleotide small nuclear RNA is filed under the name Arabidopsis thaliana (thale cress). Its description in RNAcentral is "snRNA_10954". The record is from RNAcentral. Lineage: Eukaryota; Viridiplantae; Streptophyta; Magnoliopsida; Brassicales; Brassicaceae.